Molecule: long non-coding RNA, 398 nt
Organism: Lagenorhynchus albirostris (white-beaked dolphin)
Lineage: Eukaryota; Metazoa; Chordata; Mammalia; Artiodactyla; Delphinidae
Exons: 3
Source: RefSeq, a predicted model, not a curated record
GGUCCGGGGGUGUGUUCUGGGAGGGGGCAGUGGCGGUGAGGCCCGGAAUCCCUCGAGUCUGGGGUUCGGGGCCAGGCCAGGCUCGGAGAGUGGGGAGGCGGUCAUCCCGGACUGAGGAUCCCAGGCGGCAGGGCCGGGGGUCACGGGGCUGGGCUCCGGCCUCCGGAGGUCCUCCAGCCCCUGGCCCAUGUCCCUCUGGCAUCGCGGAGGAGAUCCUGCCCCAGAAUACCUACAUCCGCCCCCAGUGAGCCUGCAUCAUUCCACACCUCCCCUACCCCCACCGCAGUCUCCCCGGGAUCAGUCCGGGACAAAGAGCUCCUGUCCAGCCCUGCAGAGGCCCCACAGCCGCCCGGCGCCCCAGACAUGGCCGGCCCCUGCACUGGAGUAUGCCUGCCUCG